Molecule: ribosomal RNA, 883 nt
Filed under: Hazslinszkyomyces lycii
Lineage: Eukaryota; Fungi; Ascomycota; Dothideomycetes; Pleosporales; Coniothyriaceae
Description: eukaryotic LSU rRNA
Rfam family: Eukaryotic large subunit ribosomal RNA
Source: RNAcentral
ACCAACAGGGAUUGCCCUAGUAACGGCGAGUGAAGCGGCAACAGCUCAAAUUUGAAAUCUGGCUCUUUUAGGGUCCGAGUUGUAAUUUGCAGAGGGCGCUUUGGCGUUGGCAGCGGUCCAAGUUCCUUGGAACAGGACGUCACAGAGGGUGAGAAUCCCGUACGUGGUCGCUAUCCUUCGCCGUGUAAAGCCCCUUCGACGAGUCGAGUUGUUUGGGAAUGCAGCUCUAAAUGGGAGGUAAAUUUCUUCUAAAGCUAAAUACUGGCCAGAGACCGAUAGCGCACAAGUAGAGUGAUCGAAAGAUGAAAAGCACUUUGGAAAGAGAGUCAAAUAGCACGUGAAAUUGUUGAAAGGGAAGCGCUUGCAGCCAGACUUGCCUGUAGUUGCUCAUCCGGGCUUUUGCCCGGUGCACUCUUCUGCGGGCAGGCCAGCAUCAGUUUGGGCGGUUGGAUAAAGGUCUCUGUCAUGUACCUCUCUUCGGGGAGGCCUUAUAGGGGAGACGCCAUGCAACCAGCCUGGACUGAGGUCCGCGCAUUUUUGCUAGGAUGCUGGCGUAAUGGCUGUAAGCGGCCCGUCUUGAAACACGGACCAAGGAGUCUAACAUCUAUGCGAGUGUUUGGGUGUCAAGCCCGAGCGCGCAAUGAAAGUGAACGGAGGUGGGACCCCAUUAGGGUGCACCAUCGACCGAUCCUGAAGUCUUCGGAUGGAUUUGAGUAAGAGCAUGGCUGUUGGGACCCGAAAGAUGGUGAACUAUGCUUGAAUAGGGUGAAGCCAGAGGAAACUCUGGUGGAGGCUCGCAGCGGUUCUGACGUGCAAAUCGAUCGUCAAAUUUGGGCAUAGGGGCGAAAGACUAAUCGAACUAUCUAGUAGCUGGUUCCUGCCG